AAAGGAAUAGACGGGGGCCCGCACAAGCAGUGGAGUAUGUGGUUUAAUUCGAGGCAACGCGAAGAACCUUACCAGGGUUUGACAUCCCGCGCAAGGUCUAGAGAUAGGCUGUUCCCUUCGGGGACGCGGAGACAGGUGGUGCAUGGUUGUCGUCAGCUCGUGUCGUGAGAUGUUCGGUUAAGUCCGGCAACGAGCGCAACCCUCGUUGUCAGUUGCCAUCAUUCAGUUGGGCACUUUGGCGAGACUGCCGUUGACAAAACGGAGGAAGGUGGGGAUGACGUCAAAUCAUCAUGCCCCUUAUGUCCUGGGCUACACACGUACUACAAUGGGUGUUACAGAGGGCAGCCACACCGCGAGGUGGAGCGAAUCCCAAAAGGCACCCCCAGUUCGGAUUGCAGGCUGCAAUUCGCCUGCAUGAAGCCGGAAUUGCUAGUAAUGGCAGGUCAGCAUACUGCCGUGAAUACGUUCCCGGGCCUUGUACACACCGCCCGU
Molecule: ribosomal RNA, 492 nt
Filed under: uncultured bacterium
Lineage: Bacteria
Description: bacterial SSU rRNA
Rfam family: Bacterial small subunit ribosomal RNA
Source: RNAcentral